Molecule: long non-coding RNA, 875 nt
Filed under: Pan troglodytes (chimpanzee)
Lineage: Eukaryota; Metazoa; Chordata; Mammalia; Primates; Hominidae
Description: lncRNA (ENSPTRG00000053310.1)
Source: RNAcentral
CUGAUACGUAAGUCCCGUGGCAGUCAUAAAGUAAGAAAAACAUUGAAAAUAUGCUUUCAAGCAUAAGCAUUUAAACUUCUUUGGGAAACAGAUUAAUUAAAUGCACUUGUAGGAAAAUGGAAGGUUUAGGAAAGAGUUAUUCCUGCUACUCCUAGCCAGUAUUUCCAAGACCAAUCAAGAGCCAGGGAAGAAAUUGUGGAGAAUAAUACACAGAGGGAAUACUGUACUUCAGAGCUGGAAAAUUUCCUCUGGAGUAGGUAAGGUUUGGAGGUCAACUGCAGUGAGGUCUCUAUACCACAGAGUGGUGAGUCCCCAAGUCCCGGUGAACUCAGGAAAUGGGCAUUAUCCUCUGGAAGAUGUUUAUAGAGGUGACUUUUUUGAGAAUAAAAGUUUCAGCUGGGGCCAAGAAAGGAGUGAUUUCUAGAUGGUGGCAAGAUUGGACAAGAUAUGCAGAUAGCCAGAAUACAGGGCUACUAAACUGGGGUUUGGAUUCCAACUGGUGCACCGCAAGAUAAGGAUGUUUCCCAUCCUUGGGCAGCCAGGUGAGACCAGAGAUGGGCCAAGCCCUUCAGCAAGUCCACUUGCAGCACAGAAGAUCCUCAACUAUCUUCCAAAUGCUAUUAAGUUGACCCCAGUUUGUGGUAUAAAUAUUUUUAUUUUCUGAGUGACAUCAUGUGAAAAAUGUUGGGAAACUCUUUAGACACAAAGCAUUAGAUAAUCUAAAAUCAAGCAUUUCUACUUCGGAUAGCCCAAGCCAGAGUGAAUGUAUCUAUAUUUGUUAGGGCAGCUUAAAUUCCCAGCUUUCCCCUUGUUCAGCCCAUGCUCCCUGCCCAAAAGUGGAGAAAUGCUACCACUCGAUUCAACCAGACAUUCCC